This 419-nucleotide long non-coding RNA is filed under the name Salvia miltiorrhiza (redroot sage). RNAcentral describes it as "long non-coding RNA (SMIL_LNC002421)". The record is from RNAcentral. Lineage: Eukaryota; Viridiplantae; Streptophyta; Magnoliopsida; Lamiales; Lamiaceae.
AACUAGUUUUGCUUGAUUCUUAUCUCGUCAAAAGGGUGGUGGGAUUUGAGUAAUUCUACUCUUUAGGGUAAAAAUACUCAAUCAUUCAUCUUAUCAAUCAUGUAAAGUAAACGUCCAUGAAAGUAUAUUUAUUAUAUUUGAAAAAAGAAAAAUAGAUAGCAUCACAUCCCUACUAAAAGUCUAAAACUAUAUAGACCAAUCUAUUUGUCCCCGUUUAAUAAAAAAAGUAGCCAUGAAAAAAAAAAUAGAAAUACCAUUUCCUCCACCUCAUUUAUAAUAGUACAAUUUUUUGGACAUAGAAACUAAGAAAAAAAUAUUUAGUGUGUAAAUUAAAUGAAGACCACUUGUAAAAAAGAUGUAUAAAGCAAGUUUAUGGUAUAAAGUAAGCGUGGGGUCAUUUGUUUAGAGUGUAAAGUAAG